AGUGAACGCUGGCGGUAGGCCUAACACAUGCAAGUCGAACGGCAGCACAGUAAGAGCUUGCUCUUACGGGUGGCGAGUGGCGGACGGGUGAGGAAUACAUCGGAAUCUACUUUUUCGUGGGGGAUAACGUAGGGAAACUUACGCUAAUACCGCAUACGACCUACGGGUGAAAGCAGGGGAUCUUCGGACCUUGCGCGAUUGAAUGAGCCGAUGUCGGAUUAGCUAGUUGGCGGGGUAAAGGCCCACCAAGGCGACGAUCCGUAGCUGGUCUGAGAGGAUGAUCAGCCACACUGGAACUGAGACACGGUCCAGACUCCUACGGGAGGCAGCAGUGGGGAAUAUUGGACAAUGGGCGCAAGCCUGAUCCAGCAAUACUGCGUGGGUGAAGAAGGCCUUCGGGUUGUAAAGCCCUUUUGUUGGGAAAGAAAAGGAGCAGGUUAAUACCCCGCUGUUAUGACGGUACCCAAAGAAUAAGCACCGGCUAACUUCGUG
RNAcentral lists this ribosomal RNA (492 nucleotides) under uncultured bacterium. RNAcentral's name for it is "partial 16S ribosomal RNA". It matches the Rfam family "Bacterial small subunit ribosomal RNA", at positions 29 to 507 of the family's 1533-position model. The record is from RNAcentral.